RNAcentral lists this ribosomal RNA (806 nucleotides) under Salmonella enterica subsp. enterica serovar Stourbridge. RNAcentral describes it as "partial 23S ribosomal RNA". It matches the Rfam family "Bacterial large subunit ribosomal RNA", at positions 486 to 1191 of the family's 2925-position model. The record is from RNAcentral. Lineage: Bacteria; Pseudomonadati; Pseudomonadota; Gammaproteobacteria; Enterobacterales; Enterobacteriaceae.
GAUAGUGAACCAGUACCGUGAGGGAAAGGCGAAAAGAACCCCGGCGAGGGGAGUGAAAAAGAACCUGAAACCGUGUACGUACAAGCAGUGGGAGCCCCACCACCAAAGCAUUCUCUGGUGUUGAAGGCCCUGCAAAGCAGCAUCGCGGUGGCGGAGCGUCGUUUGCGACGCCCAACACACAAAACAAGCGGUGAGUGCUUUGGGGUGGGGUGACUGCGUACCUUUUGUAUAAUGGGUCAGCGACUUAUAUUCUGUAGCAAGGUUAACCGAAUAGGGGAGCCGUAGGGAAACCGAGUCUUAACCGGGCGUUAAGUUGCAGGGUAUAGACCCGAAACCCGGUGAUCUAGCCAUGGGCAGGUUGAAGGUUGGGUAACACUAACUGGAGGACCGAACCGACUAAUGUUGAAAAAUUAGCGGAUGACCUGUGGCUGGGGGUGAAAGGCCAAUCAAACCGGGAGAUAGCUGGUUCUCCCCGAAAGCUAUUUAGGUAGCGCCUCGUGAAUUCAUCUCCGGGGGUAGAGCACUGUUUCGGCUAGGGGGCCAUCCCGGCUUACCAACCCGAUGCAAACUGCGAAUACCGGAGAAUGUUAUCACGGGAGACACACGGCGGGUGCUAACGUCCGUCGUGAAGAGGGAAACAACCCAGACCGCCAGCUAAGGUCCCAAAGUCAUGGUUAAGUGGGAAACGAUGUGGGAAGGCCCAGACAGCCAGGAUGUUGGCUUAGAAGCAGCCAUCAUUUAAAGAAAGCGUAAUAGCUCACUGGUCGAGUCGGCCUGCGCGGAAGAUGUAACGGGGCUAAACCAUG